GAUGAACGCUAGCGGCAGGCCUAACACAUGCAAGUCAGGGGGUAACAUAGAAAAGCUUGCUUUUCUGAUGACGACCGGCGCACGGGUGCGUAACGCGUAUACAACCUACCUUUUAGCGGGGGAAUAGCCCACGGGAAACUUGGAUUAAUGCCCCAUAGUAUAUAGACUUCUCCUGAAGUUUAUAUUAAACAUUUAUGGCUAUUAGAUGGGUAUGCGUCCUAUUAGUUAGUUGGUAAGGUAACGGCUUACCAAGGCAGCGAUAGGUAGGGGUCCUGAGAGGGAGAUCCCCACACUGGUACUGAGACACGGACCAGACUCCUACGGGAGGCAGCAGUGAGGAAUAUUGGACAAUGGGCGAGAGCCUGAUCCAGCCAUGCCGCGUGCAGGAAGACUGCCCUAUGGGUUGUAAACUGUCUUUUACAGAGGAAGAACCCACCCCCACGUGUGGGGGUUUGACGGUACUCUGCGAAUAAGGAUCGGCUAACUCCGUG
This 491-nucleotide ribosomal RNA is filed under the name uncultured bacterium. RNAcentral describes it as "bacterial SSU rRNA". It matches the Rfam family "Bacterial small subunit ribosomal RNA", at positions 28 to 507 of the family's 1533-position model. The record is from RNAcentral.